GACGUAGGGGGCCAGCGUUGUUCGGAAUCACUGGGCGUAAAGCGCACGUAGGCGGAUUGCUAAGUCAGGGGUGAAAUCCUGGAGCUCAACUCCAGAACUGCCUUUGAUACUGGCGACCUUGAGUCCGGGAGAGGUGAGUGGAACUGCGAGUGUAGAGGUGAAAUUCGUAGAUAUUCGCAAGAACACCAGUGGCGAAGGCGGCUCACUGGCCCGGUACUGACGCUGAGGUGCGAAAGCGUGGGGAGCAAACAGG
Molecule: ribosomal RNA, 253 nt
Filed under: uncultured bacterium
Lineage: Bacteria
Description: partial 16S ribosomal RNA
Rfam family: Bacterial small subunit ribosomal RNA
Source: RNAcentral